Molecule: ribosomal RNA, 668 nt
Filed under: uncultured Candidatus Poseidoniales archaeon
Lineage: Archaea; Methanobacteriati; Thermoplasmatota; Candidatus Poseidoniia; Candidatus Poseidoniales
Description: bacterial SSU rRNA
Rfam family: Archaeal small subunit ribosomal RNA
Source: RNAcentral
GGGGUGCAGCAGGCGCGAAAACUUCACACUGCAGGAAACUGUGAUGAGGGAACUCCAAGUGCAUGCACAAUGUGUAUGCUUUUCCUUACUUUUAAUCGGUUUGGGAAUAAGGGCUGGGAAAGACCGGUGCCAGCCGCCGCGGUAAUACCGGCAGCUCAAGUGGUCGUCGCUUUUAUUGGGCCUAAAACGUCCGUAGCCUGUUUGGUAAAUCUGUGGGUAAAUCAACCAGCUCAACUGGUUGAAUUCUGCAGAGACUGCCAGACUAGGGACCGGGAGAGGUGUGGGGUACUCUCGGGGUAGGGGUAAAAUCCUGUCAUCCUGGGAGGACCACCAGUUGCGAAGGCGCCACACUGGAACGGAUCCGACGGUCAGGGACGAAGCCUAGGGGCACGAACCGGAUUAGAUACCCGGGUAGUCCUAGGAGUAAACGCUGUGAACUUGGUGUCGGGGAUCCUACUUGGGUUCCCGGUGCCGGAGUGAAGAUGUUAAGUUCACUGCCUGGGGAGUACGGUCGCAAGGCUGAAACUUAAAGGAAUUGGCGGGGGAGCACUGCAACGGGAGGAGCGUGCGGUUUAAUUGGAUUCAACGCCGGAAAACUCACCAAGGCCGACUGUUAGAUGAAGACCAGCGUAAUGAGCUUGUCGGAUUUUCAGAGAAGUAGUGCAUGG